Molecule: ribosomal RNA, 439 nt
Filed under: Microbacterium arborescens
Lineage: Bacteria; Bacillati; Actinomycetota; Actinomycetes; Micrococcales; Microbacteriaceae
Description: bacterial SSU rRNA
Rfam family: Bacterial small subunit ribosomal RNA
Source: RNAcentral
UACGGGAGGCAGCAGUGGGGAAUAUUGCACAAUGGGCGAAAGCCUGAUGCAGCAACGCCGCGUGAGGGAUGACGGCCUUCGGGUUGUAAACCUCUUUUAGCAGGGAAGAAGCGAAAGUGACGGUACCUGCAGAAAAAGCGCCGGCUAACUACGUGCCAGCAGCCGCGGUAAUACGUAGGGCGCAAGCGUUAUCCGGAAUUAUUGGGCGUAAAGAGCUCGUAGGCGGUCUGUCGCGUCUGCUGUGAAAACCCGAGGCUCAACCUCGGGCCUGCAGUGGGUACGGGCAGACUAGAGUGCGGUAGGGGAGAUUGGAAUUCCUGGUGUAGCGGUGGAAUGCGCAGAUAUCAGGAGGAACACCGAUGGCGAAGGCAGAUCUCUGGGCCGUAACUGACGCUGAGGAGCGAAAGGGGUGGGGAGCAAACAGGAUUAGAUACCCUGG